This 793-nucleotide ribosomal RNA is filed under the name uncultured euryarchaeote. Its description in RNAcentral is "bacterial SSU rRNA". It matches the Rfam family "Archaeal small subunit ribosomal RNA", at positions 85 to 879 of the family's 1478-position model. The record is from RNAcentral. Lineage: Archaea; Methanobacteriati; Methanobacteriota.
ACUGCUCAGUAACACGUCGAUAAUCCGCCCUUAAGUCAGGGAUAACCUCGGGAAACUGAGGAUAAGACCUGAUAGGGGAUGAUAUCUGGAAUGAUAUAUCCCAAAAUUUCGAGCUUAAGGAUGAGUCGGCGGCGGAUUAGGUAGUUGGCGGGGUAACUGCCCACCAAGCCAAUGAUCCGUAAGGGCUUUUAGCGAAGGGGCCCUGAGAAGGAAUCUGAGACACUAUUCCUAGCCCUACGGGGUGCAGCAGUUAGGGAAAUUCUCCAAUGCGCGCAAGCGUGAGAGAGUAAGCCAGAGUGUUUUUGGAAUUUUUCCAAAAACUUUUGCUUGUCGUAAAAAUACAGGCGAAUAAGGAGUGGGCAAGAUCGGUGCCAGCCGCCGCGGUAAUCCCGACGCUCCAAGUCGCAACCACAUUUAUUGGGUCUAAAACAUUCGUAGCUUGUUUUAUAAGUUCUUCGUGAAAUCUUGACUCUUAAGGUUAAGGCGUGCGAAGAAUACUAUAGAACUUGGGACCGGUAGAAGUAAGAAGUAUGGCCGAGGUAGUGAUAAAAUACGUUAAUCUUGGCCAGACUAACAACAGCGAAGGCAUCUUACUAGCACGGAUCUGACAGUGAGGAAUGUAGGCUAGGGACGCAAAAGGGAUUAGAUACCCCUGUAGUCCUAGCAGUAAACACUGCUCACUAAACAUUAGUGCCUCCUCGAGAGGCAUUAGUGCUGUAGCGAAGGCGAAGAGUGAGCUACCUGGGAAGUAUAGUCGCAAGACCGAAACUUAAAGGAAUUGGCGGGGGAGCAC